Non-coding RNA from Rattus norvegicus (Norway rat), 435 nucleotides. The record is from RefSeq and is a predicted model, not a curated record. Lineage: Eukaryota; Metazoa; Chordata; Mammalia; Rodentia; Muridae.
CUAGCAUCUAGCCCCUGCUUUAUCAGCCGUUCUAUUUGAACAGCCUGCGUGGGGGGCCUGUGACUUUUUGUUUCUUUGGAAUUUUGUUUCUGUUUUUGCUGAAUGUGAUAAGCGUGCUCAAUCUUAAUCAGAGAAGGGAGGGCCACGAUCACACCCUGCAGUGCGCAGAGGACAAAGAGUGAAGUUAAAGCAGAUGAACAGCGCAGAAGCCCUAAGGAGCAUGCUACCUGAGGUGCACAUGCAUGCAUGCAUGUAUCUGUAUGGAGAAGUGAAUAAGCAAACUGAUAAGAGCAGAGGAGGAGUUUCUAGAUCAAGUCCACGGCAAACCAAAUACAGAAAAGGAAAAGGCUCUCAGCUCAGAAGACAGCAUCAGUUGGGGUAGAACACAGGGCUGAUGUGGGGCCGUGUGACCAAUAAACAGGUACACCACUCUAA